This 248-nucleotide non-coding RNA is filed under the name Marmota monax (woodchuck). The record is from RNAcentral. Lineage: Eukaryota; Metazoa; Chordata; Mammalia; Rodentia; Sciuridae.
GGGCAUGGUGGAUUUACCUGUAGUCCCAGCUACUUGGGAGACUGGGACAGAAGAAUCUGUUGAGCCUGGGAGUUUGAGGCUAUAUUGCAUUUUGCUGAUUGAGGAUCCAUAUUCUAAGUUGUGUAUCAAUAUGGUGACCUUCUGGGAGUGUGGGACCAUGAGGUUGAUGUGACCGAUUAGUAGUAGUGUUGCACCUGUGAAUAGCUACUCCAUUCCAGCCUGGGUAACAUAGCAUGACCCUGUCUCUU